GAUGAACGCUAGCGACAGGCUUAACACAUGCAAGUCGAGGGGCAGCAUAAAAGUAGCAAUACUUUGGUGGCGACCGGCGCACGGGUGAGUAACGCGUAUGCAACCUACCUAUCAGAGGGGGAUAACCCGGCGAAAGUCGGACUAAUACCGCAUAAAACAGGGGCACCGCAUGGUGAUAUUUGUUAAAAAUUUAUUGCUGAUAGAUGGGCAUGCGUUCCAUUAGGUAGUUGGAGAGGUAACGGCUCACCAAGCCCACGAUGGAUAGGGGAACUGAGAGGUUGGUCCCCCACACUGGUACUGAGACACGGACCAGACUCCUACGGGAGGCAGCAGUGAGGAAUAUUGGUCAAUGGGCGAGAGCCUGAUCCAGCCAUGCCGCGCGAGUGAAGAAGGCCCUCGGGUUGUAAAGCUCUUUCGCCCGCGAAGAUAAUGACUGUAGCGGGAGAAGAAGCCCCGGCUAACUUCGUG
RNAcentral lists this ribosomal RNA (468 nucleotides) under uncultured bacterium. RNAcentral's name for it is "bacterial SSU rRNA". It matches the Rfam family "Bacterial small subunit ribosomal RNA", at positions 28 to 507 of the family's 1533-position model. The record is from RNAcentral.